GAAUGCUGACAUAAGUAACGAUAAAGCGGGUGAAAAGCCCGCUCGCCGGAAGACCAAGGGUUCCUGUCCAACGUUAAUCGGGGCAGGGUGAGUCGACCCCUAAGGCGAGGCCGAAAGGCGUAGUCGAUGGGAAACGGGUUAAUAUUCCCGUACUUGGUGUUACUGCGAAGGGGGGACGGAGAAGGCUAUGUUGGCCGGGCGACGGUUGUCCCGGUUUAAGCGUGUAGGUGUGUGUUCCAGGUAAAUCCGGUUCACUUUAACACUGAGGCGUGACGACGAGGCACUACGGUGCUGAAGCAACAAAUGCCCUGCUUCCAGGAAAAGCCUCUAAGCAUCAGGUAACACGAAAUCGUACCCCAAACCGACACAGGUGGUCAGGUAGAGAAUACCAAGGCGCUUGAGAGAACUCGGGUGAAGGAACUAGGCAAAAUGGUGCCGUAACUUCGGGAGAAGGCACGCUGACACGUAGGUGAAGUGAU
Molecule: ribosomal RNA, 479 nt
Filed under: Salmonella enterica subsp. enterica
Lineage: Bacteria; Pseudomonadati; Pseudomonadota; Gammaproteobacteria; Enterobacterales; Enterobacteriaceae
Also listed under: 1 other name
Description: partial 23S ribosomal RNA
Rfam family: Bacterial large subunit ribosomal RNA
Source: RNAcentral